UACGAAGGGGGCUAGCGUUGCUCGGAAUCACUGGGCGUAAAGCGCACGUAGGCGGGUCCUUAAGUCGGGGGUGAAAUCCUGGAGCUCAACUCCAGAUCUGCCUUCGAUACUGAGGAUCUCGAGUCCGGGAGAGGUGAGUGGAACUGCGAGUGUAGAGGUGAAAUUCGUAGAUAUUCGCAAGAACACCAGUGGCGAAGGCGGCUCACUGGCCCGGUACUGACGCUGAGGUGCGAAAGCGUGGGGAGCAAACAGG
This 253-nucleotide ribosomal RNA is filed under the name uncultured bacterium. Its description in RNAcentral is "partial 16S ribosomal RNA". It matches the Rfam family "Bacterial small subunit ribosomal RNA", at positions 524 to 776 of the family's 1533-position model. The record is from RNAcentral.